This 261-nucleotide ribosomal RNA is filed under the name uncultured Glomus. RNAcentral's name for it is "partial 18S ribosomal RNA". It matches the Rfam family "Eukaryotic small subunit ribosomal RNA", at positions 624 to 886 of the family's 1831-position model. Lineage: Eukaryota; Fungi; Glomeromycota; Glomeromycetes; Glomerales; Glomeraceae. The record is from RNAcentral.
AAGCUCGUAGUUGAAUUUCGGGGUUAGUAGGUUGGUCAUGCCUCUGGUAUGUACUGGUCUCACUGAUUCCUCCUUCCUUAUGAACCGUAAUGCCAUUAAUUUGGUGUUGCGGGGAAUUUGGACUGCUACUUUGAAAAAAUUAGAGUGUUUAAAGCAAGCUAACGCUUGAAUACAUUAGCAUGGAAUAAUGAAAUAGGACGUUCGAUCUUAUUUUGUUUGGUUUUCUUAGGAUUGACGUAAUGAUUAAUAGGGAUAGUUGGG